AGUGAACGCUGGCGGUAGGCCUAACACAUGCAAGUCGAACGGCAGCACAGUAAGAGCUUGCUCUUACGGGUGGCGAGUGGCGGACGGGUGAGGAAUACAUCGGAAUCUACUUUUUCGUGGGGGAUAACGUAGGGAAACUUACGCUAAUACCGCAUACGACCUACGGGUGAAAGCAGGGGAUCUUCGGACCUUGCGCGAUUGAAUGAGCCGAUGUCGGAUUAGCUAGUUGGCGGGGUAAAGGCCCACCAAGGCGACGAUCCGUAGCUGGUCUGAGGGGAUGAUCAGCCACACUGGAACUGAGACACGGUCCAGACUCCUACGGGAGGCAGCAGUGGGGAAUAUUGGACAAUGGGCGCAAGCCUGAUCCAGCCAUACCGCGUGGGCGAAGAAGGCCUUCGGGUUGUAAAGCCCUUUUGUUGGGAAAGAAAAGCAGCAGGUUAAUACCCCGCUGUUCUGACGGUACCCAAAGAAUAAGCACCGGCUAACUUCGUG
RNAcentral lists this ribosomal RNA (492 nucleotides) under uncultured bacterium. RNAcentral describes it as "partial 16S ribosomal RNA". It matches the Rfam family "Bacterial small subunit ribosomal RNA", at positions 29 to 507 of the family's 1533-position model. The record is from RNAcentral.